Molecule: long non-coding RNA, 829 nt
Organism: Eucalyptus grandis
Lineage: Eukaryota; Viridiplantae; Streptophyta; Magnoliopsida; Myrtales; Myrtaceae
Exons: 2
Source: RefSeq, a predicted model, not a curated record
UGACCGCAUACUCCAAUACAUUUCUUCUUGUCGCCAAAGGGCUUCUAUUUGUGCAAUCACAUUUUUGUACUCCUCUUUGUCAUGGUGCUCUUCCUCCUUAUUUGUCAUCUCCGUUAGUCUAUGCUUGAGUGUAUCUAUUUGUCGGAUUGCAUUGUGGAACUUUCCUUGACUCCAUUUGGCUAGAGUAGCUGUAAUUUUUUGCACUUUUCCUGUAAAACUUACUUGAUCAGUGCUGUUUUUCCCCCAAGCCUUUUGAAUGACAUUUUCGCAUUCCUUUUCUUCAAGCCAGUAUGCUUCAAAUCUGAAUUCUUUCUUUCUUCUUAUAGUGUUUGGCUCCAAGGCAAGUAGCAAGGGGCUGUGAUCACAGCCAAUCGCUGGUAAAUCAAGGACCUCUACGUUUGGAAAUUGUACUCUCCAUGCCCAAUUGCAUAGGGCUCUAUCAAGCCUUUUCUUCACCAGGUGAUCAGCCCCUUUGUCCUCCAUAGCCGAGGGAAGCAGCAAGAGCUGGGUUUGCUGAGGUCUCUUCCCCUUAUUUGGGGAAACAUGACAAUCCAUCCAUACCUCAUCUCCUUGGUCAUUUGCUGGGAUAGUGGGUAAAAUUAUGGCUAAGGCUUUUGGUUGAGCAGCAAAAGGUUCUGAUCGGGAUACUUUAUCAGUGGAUGGCAUGGGGGUUUCAGGCACCAUUUCCUCCUCUUCAGGUGGGUGUUCAAUUUGCCCAUAGAAGGUUUUCCAACAAGGGCUAGAUUCGCUGACUUCUGCUUUCAACCAAGACCCAUAUUUUCCAGGCUUGUCUUGAGCCAAUCCCAUUUCUUCAUAAGGUAUUUCAGGG